Molecule: non-coding RNA, 148 nt
Filed under: Nomascus leucogenys (northern white-cheeked gibbon)
Lineage: Eukaryota; Metazoa; Chordata; Mammalia; Primates; Hylobatidae
Source: Rfam by way of RNAcentral
GCUGGGCGUGGUGGCACGUGCCUGUAGUCCCAGCUACUCAGGAGGCUGAGGCAGGAGAAUCACUUGAACCCAGGAGGCAGAGGCUGCAGUGAGCUGACAUCACGCCACUGCACUCCAGCCUGGGUGACAGAGUGAGACUCUGUCUCAA